This 301-nucleotide ribosomal RNA is filed under the name uncultured bacterium. RNAcentral describes it as "partial 16S ribosomal RNA". It matches the Rfam family "Bacterial small subunit ribosomal RNA", at positions 509 to 807 of the family's 1533-position model. The record is from RNAcentral.
CAGUAGCCGCGGUAAUACAGAGGGUGCGAGCGUUAAUCGGAUUUACUGGGCGUAAAGCGUGCGUAGGCGGCUUCUUAAGUCGGAUGUGAAAUCCCUGAGCUUAACUUAGGAAUUGCAUUCGAUACUGGGAAGCUAGAGUAUGGGAGAGGAUGGUAGAAUUCCAGGUGCAGCGGUGAAAUGCGUAGAGAUCUGGAGGAAUACCGAUGGCGAAGGCAGCCAUCUGGGCCAAUACUGACGCUCAUGCACGAAAGCGUGGGGAGCAAACAGGAUUAGAUACCCCCGUAGUCCCUGUCUCUUAUAC